UGCGUAGGUGGUGAGGUAAGUCGGAUGUGAAAUCUCGGAGCUCAACUCCGAAACUGCAUUGGAAACUACCUUGCUCGAGGGUUGGAGGGGGGACUGGAAUACUUGGUGUAGCAGUGAAAUGCGUAGAUAUCAAGUGGAACACCAGUGGCGAAGGCGAGUCCCUGGACAACUCCUGACACUGAGGCACGAAAGCUGGGAGCAAACA
This 205-nucleotide ribosomal RNA is filed under the name uncultured bacterium. Its description in RNAcentral is "partial 16S ribosomal RNA". It matches the Rfam family "Bacterial small subunit ribosomal RNA", at positions 568 to 774 of the family's 1533-position model. The record is from RNAcentral.